Molecule: ribosomal RNA, 163 nt
Filed under: Thanatephorus cucumeris
Lineage: Eukaryota; Fungi; Basidiomycota; Agaricomycetes; Cantharellales; Ceratobasidiaceae
Description: 5.8S ribosomal RNA
Rfam family: 5.8S ribosomal RNA
About the family: 5.8S ribosomal RNA (5.8S rRNA) is a component of the large subunit of the eukaryotic ribosome.
Source: RNAcentral
ACUAAGUUUCAACAACGGAUCUCUUGGCUCUCGCAUCGAUGAAGAACGCAGCGAAAUGCGAUAAGUAAUGUGAAUUGCAGAAUUCAGUGAAUCAUCGAAUCUUUGAACGCACCUUGCGCUCCUUGGUAUUCCUUGGAGCAUGCCUGUUUGUGUAUCAUGAAAU